UACGUAGGGUGCAAGCGUUGUCCGGAAUUAUUGGGCGUAAAGAGCUCGUAGGCGGUUUGUCGCGUCUGCUGUGAAAACUCGGGGCUUAACCCCGGGCCUGCAGUGGGUACGGGCAGACUAGAGUGCGGUAGGGGAGACUGGAAUUCCUGGUGUAGCGGUGAAAUGCGCAGAUAUCAGGAGGAACACCGGUGGCGAAGGCGGGUCUCUGGGCCGUAGCUGACGCUGAGGAGCGAAAGCGUGGGGAGCAAACAGG
Molecule: ribosomal RNA, 253 nt
Filed under: uncultured bacterium
Lineage: Bacteria
Description: partial 16S ribosomal RNA
Rfam family: Bacterial small subunit ribosomal RNA
Source: RNAcentral